GUUGAGCUUGUUAAAUUAGGUCAGGCAGCACUAAAAUGAUGCCUCGCAGAAGCACUCAGGAGGAGGAGGAGAAGGAAAACGCUCUGUCUGUCUGUCUGUCUGCUGCUUGUAUAAGAGGAUGCAGAGGCUGCAUUUCAUUGUUACACAGGGCCACGGCUAAUGGUCCCCAUCCCCGGUGUGAAUGGAAGGUAUUUGUGUGAGAGUGUGAUGCAUUAUUUAAGAGUAAACAUGGUGGAGACAGAGAGACCCUGCGGUGGUGGUGGUGGGGCAGUAUUGAUUGUGACAGGCCAGAGGAGACAUGCACACCUCGCUUAAGUGUCUGGGGCUUCUCACUGUGCCCCCGCAAAUCAGCUUUUAUUGCUCCAGCUUUGGAGUCUCCACAGUCAGCAGCCUAUCAGGCAAAGCAGCUUAGCAGAGAUAGCCUGCAGCAGUCCCACAGUGGGCCUUACCGCUAUCAAUCGAUCAUUCAUCACUGGUCCCUAAGAAACAAAAACAAGAAGCCAAAAGACGACCAGAGGAGGGGGAAGGGGGGGGCUGAGCUGGACUGUGUCACAUGGCUCUUGGCUGGGUGGAAAAACCCUGUCAGGUUUUAUUUGGGAACAGUCCACGUCCUGUUCUCUGCUGCUCAGAUUGAAACAUUUGAGGAGGAGAGAGAAGAAAAGUAAUGAGAAAAACUUUCUGAAAGAGGUCGAAUGAAAUGUGGCCCCCCGGUGCCCCCCUCUCCCUCCCUCCUCCAGCCCUCCUGCACAUUCCUCUCCCCUCAGCAGAUCUGGCAUGCCCCACAGGAGGCGGCGGCAGCAGCAGCACAGUAAUCUUUUCAAAAGGGCGGAUUUGAGCGGCCGCCAGGGCAGCCGGCCAACUAUUUCUCAUUUGGAGCUGGCCUGGAGAUGACCCUCCUGUUGGAGCCCCACUCUCAGGAAAAACAAAAACGCCAGCGCCAAGUGAGGGAGCGCCUUGGCAACGCUGGAGAGUCGGGAACAGACAAGCAGAAAGAAAACAGGGAAACCGCAAGCCUGCUCUCAGGAACAUCUGCACCGCCUUCCUGUGUCAAAGAAAAAAUUAAACUUAAUACUGUCUGCAUGAGCCCAGGGGACUAAACCAAAACAUGGAAGGCCUGUGUUUCAUUGGCGUUUCUUUUUUGGACCUCUGUCUGCAGGACGUUUUUUUCUUUGUCCAUUUUCCUCUCUGUCUAACAAUUCCCCCCCUCCUCUCUCAGCCUCUUUUCCCUCUCUGCAGCCCUCCGCUGAGCUCUGGCCUCUUGCACUUUCAGAGGAAGCCCACCUCUGGGUGGGGAGGGGCUGCUGUGUCCCUGUUAUGCUUGCUCAAUGAUGGAUGGACAGGAAAACUAAGAAUCCAGGUCCGGCAUUCCUGCUUUUACAGUGGGACGAGCGGGCGGAGGGAGAUGCGGGGGAAUUCUUGAGCGUCUUUGUAAUCCCUAUAUGUUUGACAGCAACUGCAGUGACCUUGAUCCAAACUUGUGGUCAGACCCCAGACAGAAGUGCUCAGUAAUUAUCUGGGUGGUUCUUGCAAAAGUCGCAGAAAACAGGCAGCUUCCAGAAAAAAGUCAAAGGGAGGAAAAGAAGGACAGGACAUGUGGAAAUGUUUGGAGGCUUAAAAGCUUUGUGAGUCAGACCUAAGACAUCAAAUUCCACAUGCGGGGU
RNAcentral lists this long non-coding RNA (1661 nucleotides) under Xyrichtys novacula (pearly razorfish). The record is from RNAcentral. Lineage: Eukaryota; Metazoa; Chordata; Actinopteri; Labriformes; Labridae.